UGGCUUGAACUCUCAGUGGUGCACACUUAUCUGGCUGAUAAGAGCUGGUAGGGGCUGUAGCUUUAGGAUGAGGGCUUUGCUCUGUACUACUGCAGCUUGUAAACAGAAAACAAUUUCAUUUCCCAGUCCCUUCGUCUUACCAAUAUGAGAUGAAAACACAUGUAUCAAGAAUAGGAAACGGUGAUUUUCCAGCUCUUCUUCAGAGUGUAAAUUCUCGCUCUUUAUUGAUGGCCAAGUUAGUUGAAAUCAUCAACACAAGCUCAUUUUAGACACCAAAUAUGAACAAAUGUUUCCCAUUAUGUUAGCGAUACGACCAUUCUGACACAAAAUUAAAAGAGCUCUGAAUGAAAAGUUAGGAUUUACUGCAGGAAACCUGAAAAAAGCCCCAGUUUUCACUCAAAGUUAACCAAGUGUACAAAACCCUCAUAGAAUUAAGAAAAGAGAAUGCUGUGUACAGAAAAUACACAGAGCAAAUAAAGCUGAAGCAUUACACACAGAGAUAAGCCAGAUACAUUCUUGGAAGUCAAAUAACUUCCUCUAAGAAGGGCAACACAAGCAUUCAGCUAAAGCUGUAGCGUGUUGACACACUGUAUGGAACAUAGUCAAGCACAAUAGUCACCGAGAUAACAUUGUGGCCGUUUGGCAGGUAAGAGAACAGGCACCAAUAUCUCAGUUGCAUAACCUCACUACACACCGCAGGUGCCUGGCUCCUGUUCCAAGUCUUACUGUAAGGGCAUGGGGCAUUUCUGAUAGAAGGAUCUGUGCUGUUUCCAACGUCAAAUUCUAAGACUCAAAAUAUUUCAAGUUUUCUGUUUUUAGAAGUAGUUCUGUAUUCUUUACGACAAGAAACACUAUUAACAGAUGAGAGCCUGCCACUUAUUUUGUCUCUGCAAUUUUGUAUCCUCUAGUGAAGUAACCCAUCCUCCACAAUAAGGUGUUUUCUGUAAUUACAAUGAAACAGUUGGACUGCACCUCUCAAAAAUCUCAAAGUUGUAUCAGGAACCCCUGUUCCGAUGAAAAUAAAAACAUUAUUUUGCAGCAGCACAAGCGCUGCAAGACUACAUUAAAAAAAUGCUACCUAGACCUUUACAGAAGAAUUAGUUUCAAGUAAUUUCAUGACAAAAAUAUGGAUUUUUUGAGAGAAUAAAAUGUAGUUCCCGUGUGUUAAAUUUUUGUUUAGACGACAUUUGUGAAAAUCAAAUAUUGACCAGAUGCCAUUGUGGCCUUCUGCUAAAAACGUCAGAGUCUGAGAGUGAAGAGGUUCAAAACUAGACACCUAAAAGGAAACUUGUCCAAAGAUGUAUAAGUGUGGAAAGACUCUACAGAGGGAUCUGGACCAGCUGGAUCAAUGGGCUGAGGCCAGUUAUUCAAUAAGGCUAUAGCGGGUACUGCACUUGGGCCACAACCCCAUGCAAUGCUACAGGUUGAGGGAUGAGUGGCUGGAAAGCUGGCUGAUGGAAAAGGACCUGGGAAUGUUGGUUGAUAGCUGGCUGUGAGCCAGCAGCAUGCCCAGGUGGCAACAGCAUUCUUCCUGCCUUGUAUCAGAGAUAGUGUGGCCAGCAGGAAUAGGGAAUUGAUUGUUCCCCUGUACUUGGUCCUGGAGAGCCCAGACCUGGAAUAUUGUGCUCAGUUUUGGGUACACUCACUGCAAGGAAUACAUUGAGGGGCUGGACUGUGUCCAGAGAAGGGCAACAAAAGCUGGUAAAGGGUCUGGAGCACAAGUCUUAUGAGGAGCAGCUGAGCAACCUGGGGUUAUUUGGUCUGGAGAAAACGAGGGUUAGGGGAGACUUUAUCACUGUCUACAAUUAUCUGAAAGGAGGGUGUAAUGAGGCAGGUGUUGGUCCCUUUUCCCAAGUAACAAGUGAUAUGACAAGAGGAAACAGCCUCUUGUUGUGCCAGGAGAGAUUUAGAUUGGAUGUUAGGAAAAAUUCCUUCACCAAAAGGUUGUCAAGCACUGGGACAAGCUGCCCAAAUGAAGUAACAGGGCCUGAUCAACAGGCCUAAAAAAAAAAAAUAGGUGACCCACAGAUGAUUCAUAGUGCAUUGCUAUGUGUAUUGUUUAAAUUGCAACUUUUCACAUUUCUAUUAUCAGUAGAAUUGUCCUGUGCUAUUUUUGUAAUGCAUAAAGCAUGAGAAAAUGCAUCAUAGUUGCAUUAUCAAUAGAAUUGGGCUGUGGCACAUUAGUCAUGGUUUCCUCAGUGUGCACAGGAUGCGAGGGGUAACAUCAUGGAGACGGGCAGCAGUCCCUGGGCUCAUGGACAGCACGUGAUCAUCAUUCUGACUGGCCAUCAACACCGUGGCUGACAAAUCAGUAUGAGCAUGAACACUAUGAAAAGAGAAGAACUAUGCAGGAACACCGCAUCUCAGCACUCCCCUUAGUUCGAAGAUAAGAGAUAUCCAGCAGUUUCCCUUAUCUUCCUUCCUGGGCUCUGGCCAGGCUCCAGGAGGCGGGCAACAGGGCAGCCAAGACUGUUUUUAGAAUGAUGCAAGUUGUUUAUUUAACAAUAUAAAGGCUGGACCCUCUUGCAGCGACUUUGGAGUCCUCACCUACAAGUGGAUGCACUGUGUAGGACUUCCCAAUUGCCCAGGGAAGGUUCUCCCAAAUCCUAGCUGCAACAGCUGCUCUUCAGCAACUGCAGAUCUGGAUGAUGGUAAUAGGACAAUUGUUGUUAUAGGACUGGAGACUGCAUACUCCGCCAACCAGAAGAGUUCAUUGCCUGAUCAGCUUCAAGGAAAGGAGCAUCCAGGAAAACAAGUGAAACCCACUAUAGUAAUGAAGGCGGCUGGAAAUACCUAACACUGAGAUCACUGUUCUACUCGAAAUGCUUGGAGAGAGACGAGAGGAGAUGGGGAACGAAAUGACAAAGGAAUACUGAAUGGGAGAAAUGUCUCAUUCCGGUCAGCCUCAACCGUCACAGAUGCAUGAGAUACGUUGUCUAACAAAUGGAAUUGAAAUAAAGAGUCAUGAAACAGUGGUCUGGCAGACACGGAACACUGAAACAAACUGCAAGUCAGUAAUUCAUUAAUGGAUAUCCUGCAUGGGAUAUUUUCAUACUUAAUAUUCAAGAAUAUGGGGAGACAGAAAAGUGCUUCUUAAUUUCAAGGACCUUUUUAUUACUGACUUUGAAUGUGGUAGGUCUGCUUUGCUGAUAGUCUGUUGGCUCUUGUAAUGAGGCAAAUGAUGACGAACAACUGUAUGAAAACUAUCUUCUAAAAGUACACUAGUAGUUUAUUUAGAGGACAAAAUCUUGAUUUAAUCUACUGACAGGUAUUUAAACAUAUUGGAAAAUUAAGUAUUGUGUUAUACAUCAAUUCACAUUACAUGAUUUCCUAAAAUCAAAAUUAUAUAUGAAUAUAUAGAGAUGCAUAAGACAUGAUUAAGGUAUAAAUCACCCUUUUAUUUUAAUGAACUUAAAAAUGUAGUCAAACCCAUAGCUGUCUGUCUUUUGGUAAGAAUUACAAGAAAUACUGAAUCGCUAUUUCCUUUUCACUCUUAUAUUCCCAAGAGCACCUGCAAUGUGCUUUGACUAAUUGUUUCCUGGUACAUACACUGUAUCUUUCAAUUAUGUAAAUAAGAAAAAAAAGGAUCCUUUUAAGUAAGGAUGAUACUGCAUUUUGCAACAAUCAGCACUAUCUGUUCUGCUGAGAGGAAAAGAUGCUACGCUGUUACAGUAAUUCUACAAUCAGAAUCCACAAUCUCUCUAGAUAGCAUCUGAAGGUCACAAGCGAUUUUAAGACUGCUUGUAAAUAAGACUGCUUUUGUUCAUUAUGCAGAUUAGAAACCUAAAAACAUAUGACACCUUACGUAAAUGUAAGCAGGGAAACACUAACUCCAUUUCUCUUAAAUACCAAGUGAAGUACACGUGUUCAAGAACCAUCUAGAAUUUCUGUCCUUUGAAAUAAUCAGCAAAUCUGAUUAAACAGAGAAAAAUUUUUCUACCUUCUGACAUUCAAAAACUAUGUCCCUUCAUUUUACAGCUUUAGUAUCAGAAAUUAUACACUCCCUUCGAAAUUUUCUCACUUGUUUUUAUGGUGAUAUAAAAACAAAAAAAAGAAGCAAUCUAAACAUAAGCUCUGCAAACAGCAUGCAGCUUAGUAAGCAGUACAACACUACUGAAAAGUAGGAGAGUAAAUACUAAUUCCUAUACUCUCCAUCCCCACUGUCUUUUUCGCCAACAAAGCACUCAAAAUCUCUCCAACCAUAACUGGCAUCUACUCUCUGCAAAAGCUAGAGCACUAUUUUUAUUGGAAAGCCUCUCUACCAUACCUGGAACUAAGCCAGUUCAUCAACAUCCCUGGUUUCUGCGCCCUCUCCCAGUCCCAAACAGAGCAGAGAAAAUGAAUCAUUAUUGUCUCACUCUAGCUUUCGUCCAGUAACAGGUAUUUGUUAGGAAAUUCAAUUUGUUAGGAAAUUAGCUCCCUCGAUGGGCUAAAUGUUAGUUACUGAACAAAACUACCAUCGCUAUGCUAAUGUAUACACAUGCAAGAGAGGAUCUCCAGUACAAAUGAAAUCCUGCUAGAAAGUUAAGAACAUCUAUCGCAAGCCUGCUGUUUUCCCUGAAGAAACAUAAAGCCAGAACCAAGAUUAAGAAAUUAAUUCCUGGAACUAACAUUACUGAAAGGAUAGUGGCAGCAAACAAAUCUCAUUUGAAGCUCAAUUAACACUGGCAUAGUCAGCUGAGAAAAUCUUAUUAUCAAUGCUGAAUUGCACACAGAGGGAGAGGAAAAAAAUAUGUGAGUGAAGUCCUAGCUUGGUAAAAGCCCUCUAGACCUUUUGUUUUGUUUCCCUGGGUUGUGUUUGUUUUCAAGCUUGGAUUUCUGUGGAGCCAGAAUUUCACCCCAAUAUUUCAAAAUGAAGUUUGACUGGAAGGUGGGGUGACUGUUUUCCCAUUUAUCAAAUUAGACUAAUCGUGGAUAACUUGAUAGUGGAAUGUAAAAGCACAGAACCAACCUAAUGGAAUUUUUGUAGAAUAAAUAAAAAUUGCAUAUGAAUAAU
Cuculus canorus (common cuckoo) is the source of this 4996-nucleotide long non-coding RNA. RefSeq lists it as uncharacterized. The record is from RefSeq and is a predicted model, not a curated record. The transcript has 3 exons. NCBI's taxonomy places the organism in Eukaryota, Metazoa, Chordata, Aves, Cuculiformes, Cuculidae.